UUUAUACUUUAAACUUUGAUUUUAUUUUUAUGUUUUUUAAAUAUUGGUGUUUUUGAAUGUGUUGUUUAAAUAACAUAAAAAAUAAAAUAUAUAUAUUGACAUGCAUUAAACAAAGAUAUAUAUU
Molecule: unclassified non-coding RNA, 124 nt
Filed under: Borreliella burgdorferi (Lyme disease spirochete)
Lineage: Bacteria; Pseudomonadati; Spirochaetota; Spirochaetia; Spirochaetales; Borreliaceae
Source: RNAcentral